CAGGGAACAGCUGCUCCUGGAGGAACAUUUUCUGAAGCAAUCGCUGUUCUGAGGAGGAAAGGAAAUCAUCCACUCCUACUUCACCAUAGCUGCAAGGUGGGAUGCUCUUUUCAACAUUUGCUCAUGAGACUUCUGAUCUGUGAAUAUAGAAUACACAGCAACAUCAUCAGAGGUGCUCUGUUUCCACAUGCCUGCCAAUCCUCCUUAGUCCUUCCAUCUGAGCCUGCAAACUUUUGAUGAUACAACACCCCAGCAUCUUGGCUUUAAUUUGAUUUAAAAUUUGUGAUUGCAAUUAUGGACUGAGCAUUUCUAUGGGCUUACUGCUGCAUAGGAAAGCUUUUAUGCCCAAGGUAUUGUCAGUUUGGGGUGGCAGCUUAAGGGAAGUCAGUAGAGCAGAGGCCUGAGUAUCCUGAAACCUGUGAUUUUAUAUCACAUGGGGAAACAAAUGUGACUGCAACUUUGAUUCACACAGCAACUGUCCAUACUAGCAUGACUCCUUCAGGGUGGAAAAUUUAUGUGUCUGUGUAAAUACUAAGCAAAAACCCAGAAGAUAUUCAUCACAUAUGUAAAAAUAGAGCUGUGGUUAAUAUAGUGUACCCUGUGGUCUGUUACUACUCUGAGAAAUGGUGUCUCUGCUGCUUGCAUGGCUAUGAUGUAUCUACUUGUGAGAUACCAGCAUUCCUCCUUUACAAUUACAUUGCUUGAAGCCACUACACUUCGUCUUUACCACAC
Long non-coding RNA from Corvus hawaiiensis (hawaiian crow), 732 nucleotides. RefSeq lists it as uncharacterized. Lineage: Eukaryota; Metazoa; Chordata; Aves; Passeriformes; Corvidae. The record is from RefSeq and is a predicted model, not a curated record. The transcript is spliced from 3 exons.